CCGCAUGACGCAUAGAGGUCGCAUGAUCUAUAUGCCAAAGAUUUAUCGCUUCAAGAUGGCCUCGCGUCUGAUUAGCUGGUUGGCGGGGUAACGGCCCACCAAGGCGACGAUCAGUAGCCGGACUGAGAGGUUGAACGGCCACAUUGGGACUGAGAUACGGCCCAGACUCCUACGGGAGGCAGCAGUGGGGAAUAUUGGGCAAUGGGCGCUAGCCUGACCCAGCAACGCCGCGUGAAGGAAGAAGGCUUUCGGGUUGUAACCCUCUUUUAAGAGGGAAGAGCAGAAGACGGUACCUCUAGAAUAAGCCACGGCUAACUACGUGCCAGCAGCCGCGGUAAUACGUAGGUGGCGAGCGUUGUCCGGAUUUACUGGGUGUAAAGGGCGUGCAGCCGGGUCUGCAAGUCAGAUGUGAAAUCCAUGGGCUCAACCCAUGAACUGCAUUUGAAACUGUAGAUCUUGAGUGUCGGAGGGGCAAUCGGAAUUCCUAGUGUAGCGGUGGAAUGCGUAGAUAUUAGGAGGAACACCAGUGGCGAAGGCGGAUUGCUGGACCGAUAACUGACGGUGAGGCGCGAUAGUGUGGGGGAGCAAACAGGAUUAGAUACCCUGGUAGUCCCACACUGGUAAACGAUGAAUCACUAAGUUGUGCUGGGGACUGACCCCCUGCGUGCCCGCCAGUAAACACAAUAAGUAUUACCACCCUGGGGAGUACCGAUCGCAAGGUUGAAAC
RNAcentral lists this ribosomal RNA (727 nucleotides) under uncultured Oscillibacter sp. Its description in RNAcentral is "bacterial SSU rRNA". It matches the Rfam family "Bacterial small subunit ribosomal RNA", at positions 169 to 900 of the family's 1533-position model. Lineage: Bacteria; Bacillati; Bacillota; Clostridia; Eubacteriales; Oscillospiraceae. The record is from RNAcentral.